UUAACGUCACUGUUAUUCAUAUCUAAGCACAUUUGGUGUAUACGUUUCAUCGUUGUUUAAUGUCAGUUCCUUCUAAUUAUAAUUGCGAACCAUAAUAAUUUUCUGGGGAUUCUGGGGAUGGCUGGCUGCAGUGUGUCAACAUGCACCAUUUCUUUGAAUGUUUCUGCUUUCAUUCUGGAUUGUUUAUUUCGUGAUUUCGAAUAUUAUUUACAAUGCAGCGUCUCGUUUUGACCAAGGAAAUGAAAAAGAUAAAGUGUUCUGUGCCGGGGUGACGUGCUUUUGCUGUAUCAGGUGAUUGCAAGACCGUUUUCCACUUUCCAUCUGACACGAACAGCUGUGGCUCCUCAUGACCGGGAAUCAACCUUUGCCAGUGCAUCAACACCUAGGAGUACACCGUGUAGACCUGGAGCUACUCAAGCCAUUAUUCCUCAUGUCAGUAAGAGUCCUGGUGACUCCUACACAGUCACUCCAGCCACAGCCAGUGUUACUCCACUAGCAUCAUUUCAGUUUCCAGCCAGAAGAAAAGUUCUUGCAAACUGGCAGCCAUCACCCUUGCCUUCUUCUCCUGGAAGAGUAGGCUGCACUAUUUGUCUCAGAAUUCACUUCUGUUGUGGCCGCAGUUUCUAGAACUUGCCGAAACUGGAAAGAUUCAUUCCUUCACAAGUCCCUCAGCUCCAAGAUUUUUCGAGGUCCAAAAGGCAUUUCGCUUCUUUAGAUUUUGUGCAAUGAUUGUAAUAAUGUAUUAUUAUGGAAUAUGUCAUUUUGUAAAAUCUAUUAUGUUACAUAUUUUAUAUUAAUGUUUUUGUGGUUUAUAAUUCUGGAAUACAUUUGAGUUAUCUUA
This is a long non-coding RNA of Frankliniella occidentalis (western flower thrips), 841 nucleotides long. RefSeq lists it as uncharacterized. The transcript has 4 exons. The record is from RefSeq and is a predicted model, not a curated record. NCBI's taxonomy places the organism in Eukaryota, Metazoa, Arthropoda, Insecta, Thysanoptera, Thripidae.